UCCAGGGUAGCCUAGUGGACAUGGCAUCUGCCCGGUAAGGUAAGCGGAAGGUUGUGGGUUCGAUUCCCGCCCCUGGAC
Cordylochernes scorpioides is the source of this 78-nucleotide non-coding RNA. The record is from the annotation of a GenBank genome assembly. Lineage: Eukaryota; Metazoa; Arthropoda; Arachnida; Pseudoscorpiones; Chernetidae.